This 28-nucleotide non-coding RNA is filed under the name Mus musculus (house mouse). Lineage: Eukaryota; Metazoa; Chordata; Mammalia; Rodentia; Muridae. The record is from RNAcentral.
UGGUGAUAGUUUCAUGGAGCUGCUGGUC